AUUUGGUUUUAUGCAGGCUGUGUCAGUCACAGUCAGGGGAGGUGUGGCAAGUGCUGCAUAAACAGAAUGAAAAGUGACUUAACUCCUGAAUGGCAGUGAAUUGAGCAGUGAGACUGCAGUUGCAUGAUCUAUACACAAAAAAAGUUAACGUUUUCCUGGCUAAUCCAUGUCAGCAUCACUUAUGGGUUAUGCUCCUCCUUCUCAGCUGAUAGGACAGGAAUCUAAAUUAAAAUGAUAUAUAAGGGAGUCACCUCCCCCUAUUCUUUCACUUCCCCCAUUUAUAUUUUCCUGUCCUCCAGCUGUUGGGCAGCA
Non-coding RNA from Pelobates cultripes (western spadefoot toad), 312 nucleotides. NCBI's taxonomy places the organism in Eukaryota, Metazoa, Chordata, Amphibia, Anura, Pelobatidae. The record is from the annotation of a GenBank genome assembly.